This 4445-nucleotide long non-coding RNA is filed under the name Sus scrofa (pig). RNAcentral describes it as "lncRNA (ENSSSCG00015015235.1)". The record is from RNAcentral. Lineage: Eukaryota; Metazoa; Chordata; Mammalia; Artiodactyla; Suidae.
UUUUUUUUUUUUGGUUUUAGGGCUGUACCCACUGCAUAUGGGUAGGUUCCCAGGCUAUGGGUCUAAUUGGAGAUACAACUGCCAGCCACGGCCACAGCCACAGCAGCACCAGAUCCUUAACCCACUGAGCGAGGCCAGGGAUCAAACCUGAAACCUCAUGGUUCCUAGUUGGAUUCGUUUCUGCUGCACCAUGACAGACACUCAUGAUAAAAUUUUUCAACAAACUAAGACUAGAGGGAAACUUUCUAAAUGUGAUUAGAGCACCUACAAAAAUGUACGUUCAACAUCAUUCUUAGUGGUGAAAAACUACUGAAUGCUUUUCCUCUAAGACUGGGAGUAAGGUAAGAAUGUCUGUCUCACUACUUAAUGGUGUGGAUGGGCCAAUCCCAAACUCACAAUCCAUCCCCCCACCACACACACACACCCCCUUUCCCCUUUGGUAACCUUAAGUUUGUUCUUGAAGUCUGUGAAUUUGUUUCUUUUGUGUGCAUGUGAAAGUUCUUAGACCAGGAAUUGAACUCAUGCCACAGCAACCACCCAAGUCACUGCAGAGACAAAGCCAGAUCCUUAACCGGCUGUACCACAAGGAAACUCCCUUGUUUCAUUUCUGUAAAUAAAUUCAGUUGUAUCAUUUUUUAAGAUUCCACAUGUAAGUGAUACCAUAUGAUGCUUGUCCUUCUCUGACUUACUUCACUUAGUAUGAUAAUCUCUAGGUCCAUCUAUGUUGCUAGAAAUGGCAUUAUGUCAUUCUUUUUUGUGGCUGAGUAAUAUUCCAUUUAUACAUGUACCACAUCUUCUUUAUCCAGUCCUUUGCUGAUGGACAUUUAGGUUGCUUCCAUGUCUUGGCUAUUGUAAUAGCGCUGCUGUGAACACUGGGGUGUGGUCUGAGGCCUGAGGCUAUGCAGGGACUCUGAAUAGAUUCCUCUGCCCUUCCACACCUCGGGGGAGCUUCAUCUAGGCUGGUUUCUGUGUAAACAAGAAUGUCACCAGUGUUCCAGUUAUUUUUGUUGCAUGACUAACUACCUCUAUACCUGGAGACUAUGUAUUGUCACUCUCUCUCAGGAUGCUGUGGGGUGACAGGGCUGAGCUGACCAGUUCUCCCUUGGGGUCUCCCGUACAGAUCGUGCAGCCUGAGUUUGAAGGGCUGGACCAUCUGGGGCUGGUCGGACUUCCCUCCACCUAAUUAGCUUGGGUAUUCUCACAGCAUGACAGUCUUGAAGUAACAGGCAGCCGUGUGCUGGGGCCAGCUUGUAGGAACUUGUAAGAACUAAUUCUGCAUAUUUCUUUCCAACCCUGCAUUCCGUGCUGUCACAUUGGUAGCGUGAAAUCAGCCAUGGUGGGAGCGAGUAUACCAUGCAAACCAGUGACCACUGCCCAUCAGGGGCCUUUCCCUGACCCCCAAGAGCCAGGUUACCAGCAUGUGACUUUCUUUACAUGGUGGUUGGCUUCCCCUAGAGUGAGAGGGCCAAGAAAACCGGAAGAAAGCUGCAAAAGCUUCCGAGAACCUAGCCAUGGAUGUCCCCAACCGUCACUUUCUUCCUAUCCUAUCAAACAAGUCCCUAAACCUAUACCCGAUUCAAGAGGAGGAGAAUUAUCUUCAUUGUCCCUUGGAAGAGAAGCAAAAAGAUUGUGUAAUAGAGGACCCGGCCCAGAGUAGUUCCUCAGUAAUUGUUUGAUGAAUGAAUGAAUGAAGUCUGAAUGUCCUUACAUCACCCUAAAAGUAUAAAGCCUUCUGGGAAGUCUUAAUUCAGCAUCAGAGAGGCCAAUAAUUCUUAAGUCCCUAAAGAGCCUAGAUGUAAAAUUGCUCGACAUAGCUCUAUUUAGUCGGCUGGUAUUCAUGGACCUGUUUACCCGAGCUCUUCCUGCUUAGUUACUCCACGGGGACUGCAUACAUGACAAUGGCAUAAUGCUUAUUUUAUAGGUGUUCUUAUACUAUUUGUUUGCUUUACCUGCCUAAGUAAAUUGCAGAUUCCUUGAGAGAGUUCUCACGUAUUUCUUUGCCAGUCCUCCUCCCCAUUUUGCCAAAACUAGAUAAUCAUACUUACAUAUACACACGGACGCUUACAAGAUACAGGAUAGUCAGAAAUUAUAAUAAGCCCUAUUCUCUCUUUCUUUUUUUCCCUUUGGAUGAAUACUCUUCCAUUGUAUGAAUUUAUCAGUAUUGAAGGACAUCUUACUUUCAGUAUUUGACCAUUAUCAAUAAUGUUCCUAUGAAUAAAAAAAAAAGAAAGAAAAGAAAUUAUAAGCCUGAGAAGAAAAGAAGGAACUAAAAAUUCUUCAUUGUUAUGUUUCAUAAGCGUUCUGAUUUCCACUUUAUAGCUGAGGAAAAUGAUUCUCAGGGAAAUGUACCAGGAGUUCCUGUGGUGGCCCAGGGGGUUAAAAACCUGACAUGAUGCCCCUGAGGAUGCUGCUUUGAUCCCUGGCCCCCCUCAGUGGGUUAAGGAUCCGCUGUUGCCACAAGCUGCAGCGCAGGGCGUGGAUGCAGCUGGGAUCUGGCGUUGCUGUGGCUCGGGUGUAGGCCGGCAACUGUAGCUCAGAUUCGGCCCCUAGCCAGGAAACUUCCCAUAUGCCUCAGGUGUGGCCCUAAAAAGAAAAAAAAAAAAAGGGAAACAUACCCAUCUGGUCAAGGCCACACUGCAAAGUGGUGAGCUAGGAUUCCUAUGAGACCUGCAGGGUUUCAAGGACCUGAGCUUUAUGUGUCCUUCAAGCCAUCCUCCCACUGCAAUGUACAGUCCCCCCCGCCCCAUGUGCCCCAUCCUCUCUGCCUCCUGCUUGAAGCAUCCACAGGAGUCAUAAAAAUGCUAAUGCUUCUAAACCCCACAUAGGGCAAUCAGGGUUUUCAAUUCUGCCUUCAGAAGAAAUGUCCUUUAAAAGCUUAGGAAGACACAAAGCUUAAAGCAUCGUAUACUAGGAAGGGAGGGAGCCUGACAGCGGAGAGGUCAGCUAAGCAGCUAUUGCAAUAAAUGAAGCAAAGAGUGCUGGUGGGAUGGACCAAGGGAGGGGUGGUGGGAUGGGGAUGGAAAAUUUCGAGGAUUAUUAAGAAGACAGAACCCACAGACUAGUGAUGGAUUGGAUGGUGCAGGUGAUGAUCAGUCAGUGUCGAAUCAUCACUCUGGCUGCACCGGGAACCUGAGACUGGAGAGGGGAAGCCGAGAUGGGAGGUCUCCUCAUUUCUGGAGAAGAGACGGUGAGGGCUUCAACUAGGAAAGCAGGCGUGGAAGCGGGAGAAGGCUGGGCUGGAGAGAGAACACAGAGGCAGAACCGGCAGGAUGUGUUGCCAAACUAGAUGUGGAAUGUGAGGAUGAAGGAAGGGUCGAGGGUGAAGUCCAGAAAUCUGUCCUAGAUCACCAACUGCUUUUCAUGAAGCCGGAGGACACGGGGUGGGGGGGAAGCCGUCUUCAGGUAAGGAUGAAUUCUGGAUGUGCCAAGUUUGAGGUGAUCUUGCAAGCAGAUGCUGGCAGCUGGCAUGCCAUUGCAUUUAAAACCAAACAAGCACCUCUUAUCUCAAUGCGAUGCUUUGUUCCCUUCAUAGGCUAGGGAUGAAAGCCCUCUACGCCGUGUGGGGCAGGCUCCUUCGUUGGGUGAUAAAGGGGCUCCACAAUUCUCAACGUUUUCACUUCGUGGUGGUUCAACUCUCUCCAAAAGCCAUUUAUCACCCUCUAGGCGCCUCUGUCAUCACCAAAAUGUCUUUCUUGAAACGUCCAAAGCUCAUAAGAGCUGUAUGAUUCAGUCCGUGGCAGUGACUCAUACAACUCAGAGGACGUGUGGCAGGGAGAUGUCAGCGGCCCCUAAAACCACAGGUUUGCACACACACACGUACACCCCCCUCCCCAAAACUUAGGACCUGCGUGGACAGGCUUUAAGACAUGUUUGCACACUUCUGCCCCACAAGGGAGCACAGCCAUUGUUUACACAAGGCUCUUGCGUGUCAGGACAGGGAGCCCGGGCCCUUUGUCCCUGCCCGGCUCCUGGAAGAAGGGAAGCAUUCAAGCCCAGCGAGUGGGCACAUGAUGGCUCUGCAGAGAGCAGCUGCUUUGAUCGUGAACCCCUCUAAGGCUUCUACCCACAGCACAAAGCCAGUGGUUAGGAAGGUCAGGGGGGUAGGACAGCCCAAGGAGACCACCCGAAGCUGCUUCACCAACGUGCUCAUCAUCUCACUCCUAGAACAGGCACCCGCGACCAAGCCCGGUUAGAGUUCCAUGCCCACGGCAGCCUGCCCGGGACCUGCCAGCUGCCCCCUCCCCCCACUGGUGGAAACCAGCUGCCUGGGAACCAGCCACCCUCCUCACCCAGAGUGUCCCUUGACCCAACUUUACCCCGAAAUGCCCUAAAAAGCCCCCCUCACAUCAAGCUUUCCUGCCCACUAAAGAGGAGCUUUCCUACCUCGAGAGAAGGUCCCGGGGUCCGGCCGUGGAAAAAACCCUGAGUUCCAGCAGACGUGACGG